CUUAUCACCCUCUAGUAUAAAACAUAGGUCUAAUUUAAUCCCUUGGAUCAACAAAUCUGAUGGCUGAAAUUAAAAUUCACGCGGUACAUUAAGUUGGUGGUUUCGUACAUUAAAGGGCAGUUUUGGUAUCACUCUAUUAGACAGUUCCCUAUUUAAAAAUGCAUUUGCAAGAUUUACGGGAUUUAUUUUCAGCAACUAUACAUUUUCCUCCAUCUCUCUCUCUCCCCAUUACUUCCACCAUCUCUCCUCCGUCAUUGAUCAGUAAUCACCCAGAACCCUAGCCGCCGCCUCACUCACCAUCACUUAUAUCGUCUCUCCUCUCAAUACUUUUCACACGACCUAGAAGACGACGAAUCGGUGACCAUCACGACGCGGGAAAAACGGUGUGUACGAAGCGUAAUUAGUUUCGACAACGAAGAUUUGAUGGAUAACUAAAGCAGUUGAAAUCCCGACUGAUUUCAACGGCAGCGUGAAAGGUUCAACGAGUGCAAGAAUCGAUUUGAGGAUGACUUUGACGAUGAUAUGCCCAUUGCAUUAACACAACGACAAGAUUUAAAGAUGUUCAAAGAUGUGCUACAUUAUUAUUGUGUUGUAGAUUAUAAUGUGCGAAAAUUAUAUUUUAAUGUAGACUAUAAUUUGUUUGAUGAGGGGGCAGAAGUUAUAUCCAUUCUUCAAGGGUUUAAUAGUCCAUGGGGCUAGGGUGUAGUACCAACCUAGUAGCACAACUUUCACUAAGGGCAAGGAGUUAGAGCCAUUCUUGUAGUAUUCAAUUAUUUAUUGUUUUGUGUAGUAGUCUCUGUUUGCAUUCUUACACUUA
Non-coding RNA from Salvia hispanica, 817 nucleotides. The record is from RefSeq and is a predicted model, not a curated record. Lineage: Eukaryota; Viridiplantae; Streptophyta; Magnoliopsida; Lamiales; Lamiaceae.